Molecule: ribosomal RNA, 396 nt
Filed under: uncultured bacterium
Lineage: Bacteria
Description: bacterial SSU rRNA
Rfam family: Bacterial small subunit ribosomal RNA
Source: RNAcentral
GAUGAAUCCUGGCGGCGUGGAUAAGGCAUGCAAGUCGAACGGAAUCCUUCUUGAAGAAGUUGCGAUUACAUCAAGAUGACGGAUUGAAGGAUUCAGUGGCGAACGAGUUAGUAACACCUUGGUACGUACCCUCCAGUCGGGCACAACGGGGCGAAAGUUCCGCUAAUUCCCGAUGGUCCAGCAAUGGUAAAGAAGCAAUUCACUGGAGGAGCGGCCUAGGUCCUAUCAGCUUGUUGGUGAGGUAACGGCUCACCAAGGCUACGACGGGUAGGGGCGUGAGAGCGUGACCCUCAACGACGAAACUGAGAUACGGUUCGUACACCUACGGGUGGCAGCAGUCGAGAAUAUUCCGCAAUGGGCGCAAGCCUGACGGAGCGACGCCGCGUGCAGGAAGAA